Molecule: ribosomal RNA, 490 nt
Filed under: uncultured bacterium
Lineage: Bacteria
Description: partial 16S ribosomal RNA
Rfam family: Bacterial small subunit ribosomal RNA
Source: RNAcentral
AUUGAACGCUGGCGGCAGGCCUAACACAUGCAAGUCGAACGGUAACAGGAAGCAGCUUGCUGCUUUGCUGACGAGCGGCGGACGGGUGAGUAAUGUCUGGGAAACUGCCCGAUGGAGGGGGAUAACUACUGGAAACGGUAGCUAAUACCGCAUAACGUCGCAAGACCAAAGAGGGGGACCUUAGGGCCUCUUGCCAUCGGAUGUGCCCAGAUGGGAUUAGCUAGUAGGUGGGGUAACGGCUCACCUAGGCGACGAUCCCUAGCUGGUCUGAGAGGAUGACCAGCCACACUGGAACUGAGACACGGUCCAGACUCCUACGGGAGGCAGCAGUGGGGAAUAUUGCACAAUGGGCGCAAGCCUGAUGCAGCCAUGCCGCGUGUAUGAAGAAGGCCUUCGGGUUGUAAAGUACUUUCAGCGGGGAGGAAGGGAGUAAAGUUAAUACCUUUGCUCAUUGACGUUACCCGCAGAAGAAGCACCGGCUAACUCCGUG